AUGGAGAACCAGGGGGCAGCAGCGGGAGCGGCAGCGCCGGAGAAGGAGGCGCAAGCGCCGGCGUCGACGUGCUUCAAGUGGACGGUGGGGGAGGGGGCGUCGCUGAUGGAGCGGGCCAAGGACCAGUACAGGCAGUUCACGGAGGCGCAGGCGAGCGAGCACUGGGAGUGCAUCAAGAACAAGGUCAGCUCCAUGUUCGCCGAGCCAAUAUUCGGCGGAGGCGCCAAGGACCACGGCUCAGCCGCUAACACGACGCCGUCCGUCGAGUCGCAGUAG
Molecule: ribosomal RNA, 276 nt
Filed under: Triticum aestivum (bread wheat)
Lineage: Eukaryota; Viridiplantae; Streptophyta; Magnoliopsida; Poales; Poaceae
Description: partial small subunit ribosomal RNA
Source: RNAcentral